This is a long non-coding RNA of Argiope bruennichi, 480 nucleotides long. RefSeq lists it as uncharacterized. NCBI's taxonomy places the organism in Eukaryota, Metazoa, Arthropoda, Arachnida, Araneae, Araneidae. The record is from RefSeq and is a predicted model, not a curated record. The transcript has 2 exons.
GUUAAAAAGAUUUAAAAAAUAAAAAGAAAUAAAAUAAUCAGAAAAGAAAGAACUCAAACGAGGUUAUAAACAAACAAGAACAGAAAGAGGACGUAAUAUCUUCGCGGCUGUAAUCACCAGCGAGAUUUCAUUGAACUUUAUUUUGUUGGGAACAUUAGAUUGCAAAAAAUAUUAAAUAUGCGGCUUAGUUUGUUAAGAUUAGCAAGGGUAAAAUAUUACGACAGUACACAGACUAUGCUCAAAGAAGGUGAAAAACUGAUGGAUGAAAAAAGAGGAGAAGGCUUGAUGUCUCUCAUAUUUGUUGGUGUUGUUGGAGCCAUAUUUUAUCUUAGUAGUAAACAUGCUGAACCGCCAAAAAAAGUUGAAUAUUAGAUCGAUGGCAAUGUGAACUUUUGCAUUAAUUUCCAUUUAUAUAUCAAUGCUUGUGUUGGAAAUUAUUUGUAGUAUAUUGAAUAUAAAUUUAUCCUUAUUUCUGUUGUA